Non-coding RNA from Gossypium hirsutum (cotton), 143 nucleotides. The record is from Rfam. NCBI's taxonomy places the organism in Eukaryota, Viridiplantae, Streptophyta, Magnoliopsida, Malvales, Malvaceae.
UGUUAAAAUUUUUAUUCAUUUCUACUAUUAAAAACUUGCAUAACUAACAAAAUAACCAGACAAUUACAUAGUGUGUCACGUGUACCAUAUGCUGACAUAUAAUGACCAAUUUUUAACUGUAAAAAUAGAUAAAAUUGUUAACA